Molecule: ribosomal RNA, 249 nt
Filed under: uncultured bacterium
Lineage: Bacteria
Description: partial 16S ribosomal RNA
Rfam family: Bacterial small subunit ribosomal RNA
Source: RNAcentral
GCAAGUCGAGGGGUAACAUGAUUUUCGGAUGGAUGACGACCGGCGCACGGGUGCGUAACGCGUAUGCAAUCUACCCAUUACUGGGGGAUAGCCCGGGGAAACCCGGAUUAAUACCCCAUAGUAUCCUUUGAUGGCAUCUGAAGAGGAUUAAAGAUUCAUUGGUAAUGGAUGAGCAUGCGUCUGAUUAGUUAGUUGGUAAGGUAACGGCUUACCAAGACGAUGAUCAGUAGGGGGUCUGAGAGGAUGAUC